CGGGGUGUGGCGCAGCUUGGUAGCGCACUCGCUUUGGGUGCGAGGGGCCGUGGGUUCGAAUCCCGCCACCCCGA
This 74-nucleotide transfer RNA is filed under the name Streptoalloteichus tenebrarius. Its description in RNAcentral is "tRNA-Pro". It matches the Rfam family "tRNA". From Rfam's summary of the family: Transfer RNA (tRNA) molecules are approximately 80 nucleotides in length. Their secondary structure includes four short double-helical elements and three loops (D, anti-codon, and T loops). The record is from RNAcentral. RNAcentral also lists the same sequence under 1 other name. Lineage: Bacteria; Bacillati; Actinomycetota; Actinomycetes; Pseudonocardiales; Pseudonocardiaceae.